This 545-nucleotide ribosomal RNA is filed under the name uncultured bacterium. RNAcentral's name for it is "partial 16S ribosomal RNA". It matches the Rfam family "Bacterial small subunit ribosomal RNA", at positions 355 to 914 of the family's 1533-position model. The record is from RNAcentral.
UGGGGAAUAUUGCACAAUGGGCGAAAGCCUGAUGCAGCAACGCCGCGUGAGUGAUGAAGGUCUUCGGAUUGUAAAGCUCUGUCUUUUGGGACGAUAAUGACGGUACCAAAGGAGGAAGCCACGGCUAACUACGUGCCAGCAGCCGCGGUAAUACGUAGGUGGCGAGCGUUGUCCGGAUUUACUGGGCGUAAAGGGUGCGUAGGCGGAUGUUUAAGUGAGGUGUGAAAUACCCGGGCUUAACUUGGGUGCUGCAUUUCAAACUGGAUAUCUAGAGUGCAGGAGAGGAGAAUGGAAUUCCUAGUGUAGCGGUGAAAUGCGUAGAGAUUAGGAAGAACACCAGUGGCGAAGGCGAUUCUCUGGACUGUAACUGACGCUGAGGCACGAAAGCGUGGGUAGCAAACAGGAUUAGAUACCCUGGUAGUCCACGCCGUAAACGAUGAGUACUAGGUGUAGGAGGUAUCGACCCCUUCUGUGCCGCAGUAAACACAUUAAGUACUCCGCCUGGGAAGUACGAUCGCAAGAUUAAAACUCUAAAGUGAAUUGAC